RNAcentral lists this ribosomal RNA (421 nucleotides) under uncultured Sebacinales. RNAcentral's name for it is "eukaryotic LSU rRNA". The stretch from base 1 to 79 matches the Rfam family "5.8S ribosomal RNA", at positions 73 to 154 of the family's 154-position model. The record is from RNAcentral. Lineage: Eukaryota; Fungi; Basidiomycota; Agaricomycetes; Sebacinales.
CGCAGUACGAGUGAAUCAUCGAAUCUUUGAACGCACCUUGCGCUUUUCUUAACAGGAAAGCAUGCUUGGUGGAGAAUCGCGUUAACGAUGGAUGUCUUUUGUGGUGGUGGCUGUUUUGUCUGGAUGAGAAUCCAUCUAAAUCAAAUCAAAUCAAAUCCACUAGAAAAGACACUCGACAUGAUGUUCAGCGUGUGCUGUGCAUUGAAAUGCAGUCAACAACGACAAUGCAGUUGUCUUGUGCCAGGUGCGAUAGACAUCGCCGAGCACUGGAAGAAUACCGAGUGCCGUGUUGCUUGACGGGUGUGGCAUGAAAUGAUGAAUGUGCUUUGUCACUAUCAUCAAAUCACUCUGCCCACCAAACCAAAACGAUCUCCGCCAAGUAGGACCACCCGCUGAACUUAAGCAUAUCAAUAAGCGGAGG